ACAAGCGGUGGAGCAUGUGGUUUAAUUCGAUGAUACGCGAGGAACCUUACCUGGGCUCAAAUGUAUGUUGACGUAUUCUGAAAGGGAUACUUCUUCGGACAAUAUACAAGGUGCUGCAUGGUUGUCGUCAGCUCGUGCCGUGAGGUGUCGGGUUAAGUCCCAUAACGAGCGCAACCCCUAUCAUUAGUUGCCAUCAGGUCAAGCUGGGGACUCUAAUGAAACUGCCUACGCAAGUAGUGAGGAAGGUGGGGAUGACGUCAAAUCAGCACGGCCCUUACGUCCAGGGCUACACACGUGCUACAAUGGCCGGUACAAAGGGCAGCUACCUGGUGACAGGAUGCUAAUCUCAAAAGCCGGUCUCAGUUCGGAUCGGAGUCUGCAACCCGACUCCGUGAAGUUGGAUUCGCUAGUAAUCGCGCAUCAGCCAUGGCGCGGUGAAUACGUUCCCGGGCCUU
This 455-nucleotide ribosomal RNA is filed under the name uncultured Sphingobacteriales bacterium. RNAcentral describes it as "bacterial SSU rRNA". It matches the Rfam family "Bacterial small subunit ribosomal RNA", at positions 925 to 1382 of the family's 1533-position model. The record is from RNAcentral. Lineage: Bacteria; Pseudomonadati; Bacteroidota; Sphingobacteriia; Sphingobacteriales.